RNAcentral lists this ribosomal RNA (253 nucleotides) under uncultured bacterium. RNAcentral's name for it is "partial 16S ribosomal RNA". It matches the Rfam family "Bacterial small subunit ribosomal RNA", at positions 524 to 776 of the family's 1533-position model. The record is from RNAcentral.
UACGAAGGGGGCUAGCGUUGUUCGGAAUCACUGGGCGUAAAGGGCGCGUAGGCGGCCGAUCAAGUCGGGGGUGAAAGCCUGUGGCUCAACCACAGAAUUGCCUUCGAUACUGUUUGGCUUGAAACCGGAAGAGGUUAGUGGAACUGCGAGUGUAGAGGUGAAAUUCGUAGAUAUUCGCAAGAACACCAGUGGCGAAGGCGGCUGACUGGUCCGGUUCUGACGCUGAGGCGCGAAAGCGUGGGGAGCGAACGGG